RNAcentral lists this ribosomal RNA (498 nucleotides) under uncultured bacterium. RNAcentral describes it as "partial 16S ribosomal RNA". It matches the Rfam family "Bacterial small subunit ribosomal RNA", at positions 28 to 507 of the family's 1533-position model. The record is from RNAcentral.
GAUGAACGCUGGCGGCGUGCCUAAUACAUGCAAGUCGAGCGAACAGACGAGGAGCUUGCUCCUCUGACGUUAGCGGCGGACGGGGUGAGUAACACGUGGAUAACCUACCUAUAAGACUGGGAUAACUUCGGGAAACCGGAGCUAAUACCGGAUAAUAUAUUGAACCGCAUGGUUCAAUAGUGAAAGACGGUUUUGCUGUCACUUAUAGAUGGAUCCGCGCCGCAUUAGCUAGUUGGUAAGGUAACAGCUUACCAAGGCAACGAUGCGUAGCCGACCUGAGAGGGUGAUCGGCCACACUGGAACUGAGACACGGUCCAGACUCCUACGGGAGGCAGCAGUAGGGAAUCUUCCGCAAUGGGCGAAAGCCUGACGGAGCAACGCCGCGUGAGUGAUGAAGGUCUUCGGAUCGUAAAACUCUGUUAUUAGGGAAGAACAAAUGUGUAAGUAACUAUGCACGUCUUGACGGUACCUAAUCAGAAAGCCACGGCUAACUACGUG